Molecule: long non-coding RNA, 258 nt
Filed under: Ananas comosus (pineapple)
Lineage: Eukaryota; Viridiplantae; Streptophyta; Magnoliopsida; Poales; Bromeliaceae
Description: long non-coding RNA (ACOM_LNC021905)
Source: RNAcentral
AAACUAUAGCCAUCGUGACUCUUUGGUUCUUAAAUUUUAAUUUAUUAUAAUUUUUAUUACAAUCAAAUUCAUAAUUAAUUUAGUUUAUUAAAUAGAUACAUUAUUGAUGUAAAAAUUAUUAUCAAAUCAUCAAUUAUAAUAUUUUCAUAUUAUUUAUGCAUUAAUAAUUAUUUAUUAAUAUUUAGUGAACUAAAAUGCGUAAUAAUUCUGAAAAUUCGAGGCAUAAAUGGUAAUAAAUUGAAAAUUGAGGAACAAAUG